GCAAGGCAGGUGGGUAAGCGUGCAAAAUAGCGCGAAGCCCGAUACUCAGUCAGACCUGUUUUGU
Non-coding RNA from Alteromonas sp. RW2A1, 64 nucleotides. The record is from Rfam. NCBI's taxonomy places the organism in Bacteria, Pseudomonadati, Pseudomonadota, Gammaproteobacteria, Alteromonadales, Alteromonadaceae.